Molecule: ribosomal RNA, 424 nt
Filed under: uncultured bacterium
Lineage: Bacteria
Description: bacterial SSU rRNA
Rfam family: Bacterial small subunit ribosomal RNA
Source: RNAcentral
GGGGAAUUUUGCGCAGUGGGCGAAAGCCUGACGCAGCAACGCCGCGUGGGUGAUGAAGGUCUUCGGAUCGUAAAACCCUGUCGUCAGGGACGAAGGUUUGCGAGGUAACUCUCGUAGGCUUGACGGUACCUGGAGAGGAAGCCCCGGCUAACUCUGUGCCAGCAGCCGCGGUAAUACAGAGGGGGCAAGCGUUAUUCGGAAUUAUUGGGCGUAAAGGGCGCGUAGGCGGUGAUGUAAGUGAGAUGUGUAAUCCCCGAGCUCAACUUGGGAACUGCAUCUCAGACUGCAUCGCUAGAGUGCUGGAGAGGGUGGUGGAAUUCCACGUGUAGCGGUGAAACGCGUAGAGAUGUGGAGGAACACCAGUGGCGAAGGCGGCCACCUGGACAGUAACUGACGCUGAGGCGCGAAAGUGUGGGGAGCAAAC